RNAcentral lists this non-coding RNA (85 nucleotides) under unclassified sequences. The record is from RNAcentral.
CGCUGUUUGCCGCCGGGUAAACAAUCAAGCAUUGAUCUUCCGUAUCGUUAGGCCAUAGAAGAUACGGAAGUCAAUGCUUUUGUUU